Molecule: ribosomal RNA, 497 nt
Filed under: uncultured bacterium
Lineage: Bacteria
Description: partial 16S ribosomal RNA
Rfam family: Bacterial small subunit ribosomal RNA
Source: RNAcentral
GAUGAACGCUGGCGGCGUGCCUAAUACAUGCAAGUCGAGCGAACGGACGAGAAGCUUGCUUCUCUGAUGUUAGCGGCGGACGGGUGAGUAACACGUGGAUAACCUACCUAUAAGACUGGGAUAACUUCGGGAAACCGGAACUAAUACCGGAUGAUAUUUUGAACCGCAUGGUUCAAAAGUGAAAGACGGUCUUGCUGUCACUUAUAGAUGGAUCCGCGCUGCAUUAGCUAGUUGGUAAGGUAACGGCUUACCAAGGCAACGAUGCAUAGCCGACCUGAGAGGGUGAUCGGCCGCACUGGAACUGAGACACGGUCCAGACUCCUACGGGAGGCAGCAGUAGGGAAUCUUCCGCAAUGGGCGAAAGCCUGACGGAGCAACGCCGCGUGAGUGAUGAAGGUCUUCGGAUCGUAAAACUCUGUUAUUAGGGAAGAACAUAUGUGUAAGUAACUGUGCACAUCUUGACGGUACCUAAUCAGAAAGCCACGGCUAACUACGUG